RNAcentral lists this ribosomal RNA (1371 nucleotides) under Urogonimus macrostomus. RNAcentral's name for it is "eukaryotic LSU rRNA". It matches the Rfam family "Eukaryotic large subunit ribosomal RNA", at positions 34 to 984 of the family's 3401-position model. Lineage: Eukaryota; Metazoa; Platyhelminthes; Trematoda; Diplostomida; Leucochloridiidae. The record is from RNAcentral.
AUAAGCAUAUCACUAAGCGGAGGAAAAGAAACUAACCAGGAUUCCCCCAGUAACGGCGAGUGAACGGGGAUUAGCCCAGCACCGAAGCCUGUGACCAAUUGGUUACUAGGCAAUGUGGUGUUUAGGUCAUCUCUUGGCAUUGUUGCUCCACCCUAAGUCCAGCAAUGAGUACGGCUUACUGGAAUGGCCCACAGAGGGUGAAAGGCCCGUGGGGGUGGAGACCAAAUGGACAAUAAUGCCCAGAGUAGACCUUGGAGUCGGGUUGUUUGUGAAUGCAGCCCAAAAUGGGUGGUAAACUCCAUCUAAGGCUAAAUACUGACACGAGUCCGAUAGCGAACAAGUACCGUGAGGGAAAGUUGAAAAGUACUUUGAAGAGAGGGUAAACAGUGCGUGAAACCGCUCAAAGGUAAACGGGUGGAGUUGAACUGUAAGCCUUGGGAAUUCAACUGGUGGGUAUUACAUGAGCUUGGGCAUAAUUGGUCGACUUUUGGAGUCUGCUUAGCUGUAGGCUCCCGUCCUUUAUUGGGCGGGGGUGUGCGAUGCGCUUAUCAAGUGCUGUACGCUUCAAAAGUUGUGGGCCUGCUCGCCAGUGCACUUUCCCUUGGUGUUCACCACGACCGGCGCUGCUGUCUGUCUACUUUGAUCAAACCGGUCUUGCCCAAUCCUUGUGGUUGAGCUUGAUCGGGAUGGCAGGUAGCUCAUUGAUUAAUUGUUGGCUUCGGCCGGCAAUUGGUCUUUGGGUGUAAUUAGCUGAUCAUUGUAGAUCUGUGCAGUGCACCGGAGAUGACGGCUAUGGUGUGUGCAUACGUGCUUUGCUUAUUGACAUUGUCGGGUCUGAUUGGUUUGUUUACUCAUUUCGGUGGGUCAACUAGUGGCUCGGCUUUGUUCGGUUUGCGGUGGCGUAUGUGACACCUUUAUGGGCCUAUAGUCUGUGGUGUUGCGGUAGACUAUCCACCUGACCCGUCUUGAAACACGGACCAAGGAGUUUAACAUGUGCGCGAGUCAUUGGGCGUUACGAAACCCAAAGGCGCAGUGAAAGUAAAGGCUCGGUUUGUCCGAGCUGUGGUGAGAUCCUAUCGUUUCUCGUGCCUGGUACCACCAAGCGUUUGAGCGAUAGGCGCAUCACCAGCCCGUCUCAUGGUGUAGUCAUAUAACUUGUUAUAUGCAGCACCGGGGCGGAGCUUGAGCGUACACGUUGAGACCCGAAAGAUGGUGAACUAUGCUUGCGCAGGUUGAAGCCAGAGGAAACUCUGGUGGAGGACCGUAGCGAUUCUGACGUGCAAAUCGAUCGUCUAACGUGAGUAUAGGGGCGAAAGACUAAUCGAACCAUCUAGUAGCUGGUUCCCUCCGAAGUUUCCCUCAGGAUAGCAU